Molecule: long non-coding RNA, 3452 nt
Filed under: Gossypium barbadense (sea-island cotton)
Lineage: Eukaryota; Viridiplantae; Streptophyta; Magnoliopsida; Malvales; Malvaceae
Description: long non-coding RNA (GBAR_LNC014772)
Source: RNAcentral
AAAUCGCAAUUCUACAGAUUUCCAACCAUAUUGUCACUGCAAUACCAAUUCUUUUACGCCUCACACUUUGUGCAAUUAAAGGCAGACGGGCCAUUACUGCAAUAUAUUAAUGUGUUCCAUAUUGUCAAAUCGCAGUAAAAGGGUCACAUUUCUCCAAUCAUAAUUUCAAUAACAGUAAAAUACAAUUAAAUAAUUUAAUUGCCAAAGAACUUACAGUGAUUGUGUAAAAAGAAAACGGUACACUGUGGGUAGAGGAAGCAAUCAAACAAGCUGCUUCAGUAGGAAGCAAUAUCACACUAUCAAAGAAAAAUGAACAAUACAAAUUUAGAAUCUUAACGAGUACAUUGCAACAAAGCGUAACUUCAACAACACAGAUGUGUAUAAAAACAAGGCUAUUCAAUAGAAUAGGAUACCAUAAAAGAGACUAACAUGCAAUGAUUAAAUAGAAAAAUAAAUAUAGUUAAAUAGACUAAGUUAGAAACAAAGCAGUAUUCCAACAUUAUUUAUAAUCUAUUUAAAUAAAUAUAUUUAAUAAAUGAUAUAAUUAUAUAAUUAUAUACCAUAAAAGAGACUAAGCAGGCAAUGUACCGUGGAUGAACUUAUGACUUGUAAGAAACAAAAAGGCAGAAAAUAGAAGAGGCAUUAUGGUCAAGUUGAAUAAUGUUGGAAUACUGCUUUGUGACAAAGGUGACAAAUAGGUAACUGUGGUUUUCAAGUAUAAUUAUAUAAUUAUAGGUAACUGUGCUUAUAAUUGUUUCAAGUAUAAUUAUAUAACUAGUAUAUAUUUCAAUUAUUUCUUUUGUUAAAAAAAAGGGGGAAUUGGUUGUUUUCAAGUAUAAAAAACAAUACUGCAAUAUAUUUGACUUUUUGAUUUAAAUUUAUAUGUAUUAUAUAUUUAUUAUAUUAUAAAUAUAUUUUUAAAAAAUUACAAAUAAUAUAUAUUAAAAGUCAUUUAAGUUCAUCAAUUUGGUUAUGAAAAUUUAUAUUUUGAUAACUGACCAACUUAACUUUUUUUAAUACAAUACUGCAAUAUAUUUGACUUUUUGAUUUAAAUUUAUAUGUAUUAUAUAUUUAUUAUAUUAUAAAUAUAUUUUUAAAAAAUUACAAAUAAUAUAUAUUAAAAGUCAUUUAAGUUCAUCAAUUUGGUUAUGAAAAUUUAUAUUUUGAUAACUGACCAACUUAACUUUUUUUAAUACAAUACUGCAAUAUAUUAAAACCUUUCCCGACUUUUAAAUUAGAGAAAAAAGAAUUUAAUUAAACAUGUUCAAAUUAACUACCUAUAAAAGAGACUAAUAGGCAAUGACUAAAUCAAAAACUUACACAUACUUGAACAACUAAUGAUGUAGUUUAACCAAAAUAAAUUGCUAUAAAAAAAGUACAUGGAUAUAGCCAUGGGUAAUGUCAAAACUCAAAACAGCACACCAUAUUCCUUUCUUUCCCUUCUUCCUUAACUAGCUGCCCUUAUCUGUCACUUUUCAGGUUUGGUUACUGCUUGCUUAAGACUAAAUAAGGUUGAUUCAGCUGGAUAAUAGAUAGCUAAUAACUAAAUAUGUAAAAAAAAAUUACAUCUCCUCAAAUCAUUCCAAUUAAUAAACAACAAUACAAUUUCAAGCAUUGAAUGAUGAACAAAAUGAUCACAUAGUUUAAGCAACAAAAUCCAGAAGGUAAACAAAAUGAUGAGCAAAAUGAGCACCAUCAUUUGCAGCCUACGGAACAAAAUGAGGAGCAACAAAACAAAGAAACAUUGGAUUCCAAAUAUGCAAAUCCAGAAGGUAAUUAAAGAGCAUCAUCAUUUAAGGAUGUAUAAUAGAAGUAAGAAAUUUCAAGCAUAUACCAUCUAUAUCAUAUGAUAAGUCCACACAGUAAGUGGAUGCAUAGCCAAAGAACCAUAAAAUAUCAAGACUCUUGUCUCUCAUCUGGAACUAUACUACCCAUGAAGGGGACACCCACACAUCCCCACACCCAUUUUCAAUUACUACACAACGAAGCUGUUGCUUUCAUUACUCUUUUUACUAAAAAAAACACUUUUUCCCCUUAUGCUGUAAAAAUCUGUUGAAUGAUUGAACCAACCCGGAUGAGCUACAUAUUCCAAGUUCCAGACUCCACCCUGCACCAUUUUUCUACCCACGUUGGCCCAACAAAAUUUAUAUAUAACUCAACAAUACAAUAGAAUAUCACAUGGUUUUCUUGACCAAGAAAAUCUGGGCCAUGCUUCCUUUUUUAAUUAAAUAUUAACAUAUGUUCCUCCACAACACUCUUCCCCUAACCAAACAAUGCAUUGUUGGGAGGGGCUUUUGGAGCCCACUGUACAUCGCUUUCUAUCUCCACUGUCGGCAAUCAAUUGUAUAAUAUGGUUUAGCCCAGACUUUGAGGACAUUUUCUUGUAUGUUGUGGAGUUUAAGUGUUGAAGUCUGAUUGGAGAGCAACAUUAUUUUUGGGUAUCAAAAGUUAUGAUCCUGAUUCAAGCACGGAUAGCUGUGAGUAGUUUAUAUACAUGUAGAAAGGGAAAAUGAAAAGGGAAUAUUUUCUUUGUUCAAUCGUUGGGUGAGUCUGUGAAUAGAGAAAAGUUAAGUUGAAUGUUGGAGGUGGUCUGCUCCAGCAAUUUUAGGAAUCUUCCCUACCAGAGGCAGAGAAUACCCAAAUUUAUGGUGAAAAGAGAAACCAUGAUAAGUUCAGGUAUGCAAUUAGCUUAACAGAAAAGUUAGAAAAAUAUGUUACUGGGAAAUUGGGCAGAACAACAUAGAUGCCAGAUUUUGGCCUUAUUCGACGGGCAGAAUCUGUAAACAAAUUAACAUUAUUCUCACAUAAAUAUUGAACUGCACGUGGAACGUGCAUCAGGGAGCAAAAAAAUUUGAGAACAACGAGCAGGUACGGUACCGAGAAGAAAAGCCUAAACUGGGUCUAAACUUUGAGUACGAAAUUCGACACCAGCAGAGUUACAUGAUUAAACUUUCUAAAACCUCAUGUUAAAGGUAAAUGCAUGAUUCAAUUUCUAGAAAUGUUGAUCUUUCGUCAUAAAAAAACAUAAAAGGGAAAACAUGUUGAAAGAAUGUUAGGGCAGACAAUUUUUACCUUGAUUGAAUUGGAAAGCUUUUCUUGAGGGUUUAUUUGGAGAUACUUGGGAUUGAUCUCUACUCACUGCAUUUGAAGAACACAAGUCUGUUUUGAUGGCCAAAACAGUGCUCUGAAAAGGUGCAAGAAAUCGGGAAGAGAAACAGUGCUCUGAAAGUGAAACAGGAAGAGGCCGAUGGAUGAAACAGGAAGAGAAAUCGGGAGCUUCUUGAUCUUGGGAGGGAGAGGCUGGAGAUGGCUCUUGUAUUGGAAGGGUAAAACAGGCCAAAUCACAAUCGGGAGAGUUAAGCGGAGCUAAUCUGAACUUUUUGAAGGGAAUAGAAAUGGGUCUUUCAUCAGUAAUACACCCGGAAUGUAUUAGACCCGUAAUAGGGCAAUAC